UACCUGCACCCCGAGUGGUCUGGACGAUUAUUGGGCCUAAAGCGUCCGUAGCCGGUUUUUCAAGUCCUCCGUUAAAUCCAGCUGCUUAACAGAUGGGCUGCGGAGGAUACUACAAGGCUAGGAGGCGGAAGAGGCAAGCGGUACUCAGUGGGUAGGGGUAAAAUCCUCUGAUCCAUUGAAGAACACCAGUGGCGAAGGCGGCUUGCCGAUACGCGCUCGACGGUGAGGGAUGAAAGCUGGGGGAGCAAACCGG
Molecule: ribosomal RNA, 253 nt
Filed under: uncultured bacterium
Lineage: Bacteria
Description: partial 16S ribosomal RNA
Rfam family: Archaeal small subunit ribosomal RNA
Source: RNAcentral